This 359-nucleotide ribosomal RNA is filed under the name uncultured bacterium. Its description in RNAcentral is "partial 16S ribosomal RNA". It matches the Rfam family "Bacterial small subunit ribosomal RNA", at positions 329 to 705 of the family's 1533-position model. The record is from RNAcentral.
GUCCAGACUCCUACGGGAGGCAGCAGUGGGGAAUAUUGCACAAUGGGGGGAACCCUGAUGCAGCGACGCCGCGUGGGUGAAGAAGUCAUUCGUGACGUAAAGCCCUAUCAGCAGGGAAGAAAAUGACGGUACCUGACUAAGAAGCCCCGGCUAACUACGUGCCAGCAGCCGCGGUAAUACGUAGGGGGCAAGCGUUAUCCGGAUUUACUGGGUGUAAAGGGAGCGUAGACGGCGGCGCAAGUCCGGAGUGAAAGCCGGCGGGCCAGCCGGGGGACUGCUCUGGAAACUGGGGGGCUUGAGUGCGGGAGGGGCAGGCGGAAUUCCUAGGGGAGCGGUGAAAUGCGUAGAUAUUAGGAGGA